GACGUAGGUGGCGAACGUUAUCCGGAAUUAUUGGGCGUAAAGGGUGCGUAGACGGCAUGACAAGUUAUUGGCGGGAAAUCGAGGCUCAACCUCGUGGAAACUAGUAAUACUGUUUUGCUUGAGUACAGGAGAGGUUAACGGAACUCCAUGUGGAGCGGUAAAAUGCGUAGAUAUAUGGAAGAACAUCAAUAACGGCGAAGGCAGUUAACUAUUCUGUUACUGACGUUGAGGCACGAAAGCGUGGGGAGCAAAACGG
RNAcentral lists this ribosomal RNA (256 nucleotides) under uncultured bacterium. Its description in RNAcentral is "partial 16S ribosomal RNA". It matches the Rfam family "Bacterial small subunit ribosomal RNA", at positions 524 to 776 of the family's 1533-position model. The record is from RNAcentral.